RNAcentral lists this ribosomal RNA (383 nucleotides) under uncultured bacterium. Its description in RNAcentral is "bacterial SSU rRNA". It matches the Rfam family "Bacterial small subunit ribosomal RNA", at positions 49 to 478 of the family's 1533-position model. The record is from RNAcentral.
UAACACAUGCAAAUCGAGCGAGACCUUCGGGUCUAGCGGCGGACGGGUUAGUAACGCGUGGGAAUAUACCCUUCUCUACGGAAUAGCCCAGGGAAACUUGGAGUAAUACCGUAUACGCCCUUCGGGGGAAAGAUUUAUCGGAGAAGGAUUAGCCCGCGUUGGAUUAGGUAGUUGGUGGGGUAAUGGCCUACCAAGCCUACGAUCCAUAGCUGGUUUGAGAGGAUGAUCAGCAACACUGGGACUGAGACACGGCCCAGACUCCUACGGGAGGCAGCAGUGGGGAAUCUUAGACAAUGGGCGCAAGCCUGAUCUAGCCAUGCCGCGUGGACGAUGAAGGCCUUAGGGUUGUAAAGUCCUUUCAGCUGGGAAGAUAAUGACGGUAC